This 1027-nucleotide long non-coding RNA is filed under the name Homo sapiens (human). RNAcentral's name for it is "HSALNT0279959". The record is from RNAcentral. Lineage: Eukaryota; Metazoa; Chordata; Mammalia; Primates; Hominidae.
UAUGACAAAAGAUUGCUUGCAGGAGCAGAAACUGUGUCCCCUGGAGUGAGACCAUCACUGUCUGCCAUCAUGUAGCUGUUUCCUUUGGAGCCACUCAGUCAUUGACUGCUUUCCCUGGAAUGAGGGGAAUACCCAGUCAUUGGUCAUCAAUUGUUUCUGCUGGACCAACUCUGUCCUGGGCUCUGUUCCCUCCACUGACUCAGUGAUUGACUGUUAUCCUUGGAGUGACUCAAGUGUCGGCUGUCUUCCCAGGUCUGAGGCAAUCACUUCCUGUCAUCCUCUUAACAACUGUUUUCCUUAGAGUGACACAGUCAUUCACUGUUUCUCCUGGAUAUCUCCCUGUCAUUUCAUCAUCAAUUUUUUCUCUAGAUUGACUCAGUUCACCAUCAACUGUGUCCCCUGGAGUGACUUGGUGGUCAAUUAUUUUCCCUGAAUUGAUUUGGUCAUCGAUUCUUUUGCCUGGACUGACUCUGUCAUCGACUGUUGUCCCUGGAAUGAUUUGGUACUCAACUGCUUUCCCUGGACUGAUUGGUCAUCAACUCUUUUCCCCGGAUUUACUCGGUCAUUGACUGUGUUCCCUGGACUGACUUGGUACUCAACUGAUUUCCCCUGGAUUAAUUCAGUCAUUAACUCUUUUUCCUAGUUUGACUGGGUACUCAACUCAUUUCCCUGGAAUGAUUUGGUACCCAACUCAUUUCCCUGAUUCGACUCGGUACUCAACUGGUUUCCCUGGAAUGACUUGGUACUCAGCUGGUUUCCCUGGAUUGACACCAUAUUCAACUUGUUUCCCUGGAUUAACUUGGUAUUCAACUCAUUUCCCUGGACUGACUCUACCCUGAAAUGAUUUGUGCCCUGGACUGUCUGGUAUUCAACUCUUUUCCCUGGAUUGACUCAGUCAUUUGCCCUCAUUUCCUGUUUUACUUGGAACAACUCAGUCAUUCACUAUUUUCCACACUGAGGGCAUCUCCAUGACUUCCUAUCAUCAAUGCUUUCCCUGGACUAAGUCAGUCAUAGACUCUAAUCUCUG